Molecule: ribosomal RNA, 396 nt
Filed under: uncultured soil bacterium
Lineage: Bacteria
Description: bacterial SSU rRNA
Rfam family: Bacterial small subunit ribosomal RNA
Source: RNAcentral
AGAUUGAACGCUGGCGGCAUGCCUUACACAUGCAAGUCGAACGGCAGCACGGACUUCGGUCUGGUGGCGAGUGGCGAACGGGUGAGUAAUAUAUCGGAACGUACCCUGGAGUGGGGGAUAACGCAGCGAAAGUUGCGCUAAUACCGCAUACGAUCUACGGAUGAAAGUGGGGGCUCGCAAGACCUCAUGCUCGUGGAGCGGCCGAUAUCUGAUUAGCUAGUUGGUAGGGUAAAAGCCUACCAAGGCCUCGAUCAGUAGCUGGUCUGAGAGGACGACCAGCCACACUGGGACUGAGACACGGCCCAGACUCCUACGGGAGGCAGCAGUGGGAAUUUUGGACAAUGGGGGCAACCCUGAUCCAGCAAUGCCGCGUGAGUGAGAAGGCCUCGGUGUAAG